GGUUUGAUCUUGGCUCAGAUUGAACGCUGGCGGCAGGCCUAACACAUGCCAAGUCGGGCGGUAGAGAGAAGCUUGCUUCUCUUGAGAGCGGCGGGACGGGUGAGUAAUGCCUAGGAAUCUGCCUGGUAGUGGGGGGAUAACGCUCGGAAACGGACGCUAAUACCGCAUACGUCCUACGGGAGAAAGCAGGGGACCUUCGGGCCUUGCGCUAUCAGAUGAGCCUAGGUCGGAUUAGCUAGUUGGCGAGGUAAUGGCUCACCAAGGCGACGAUCCGUAACUGGUCUGAGAGGAUGAUCAGUCACACUGGAACUGAGACACGGUCCAGACUCCUACGGGAGGCAGCAGUGGGGAAUAUUGGACAAUGGGCGAAGGCCUGAUCCAGCCAUGCCGCGUGUGUGAAGAAGGUCUUCGGGAUUGUAAAGCACUUUAAGUUGGGAGGAAGGGCAGUAAAUUAAUACUUUGCUGUUUUGACGUUACCGACAGAAUAAGCACCGGACUAACUCUGUGCCAGCAGCCG
This 517-nucleotide ribosomal RNA is filed under the name uncultured bacterium. RNAcentral describes it as "bacterial SSU rRNA". It matches the Rfam family "Bacterial small subunit ribosomal RNA", at positions 10 to 517 of the family's 1533-position model. The record is from RNAcentral.